CCUACGGGAGGCAGCAGUGGGGGAUAUUGCACAAUGGGGGAAACCCUGAUGCAGCGACGCCGCGUGGGCGAAGAAGCGCCUCGGCGCGUAAAGCCCUGUCAGCAGGGAAGAAAAUGACGGUACCUGAAGAAGAAGCCCCGGCUAACUACGUGCCAGCAGCCGCGGUAAUACGUAGGGGGCAAGCGUUAUCCGGAUUUACUGGGUGUAAAGGGGGCGCAGACGGCGAUGCAAGCCAGGAGUGAAAGCCCGGGGCCCAACCCCGGGACUGCUCUUGGAACUGCGUGGCUAGAGUGCAGGAGGGGCAGGCGGAAUUCCUGGUGUAGCGGUGAAAUGCGUAGAUAUCAGGAGGAACACCGGUGGCGAAGGUGGCCUGCUGGACUGCAACUGACGUUGAGGCCCGAAAGCGUGGGGAGCAAACAGGAUUAGAUACCCCAGUAGUC
This 440-nucleotide ribosomal RNA is filed under the name uncultured bacterium. RNAcentral describes it as "partial 16S ribosomal RNA". It matches the Rfam family "Bacterial small subunit ribosomal RNA", at positions 338 to 795 of the family's 1533-position model. The record is from RNAcentral.